Long non-coding RNA from Homarus americanus (American lobster), 1383 nucleotides. RefSeq lists it as uncharacterized. NCBI's taxonomy places the organism in Eukaryota, Metazoa, Arthropoda, Malacostraca, Decapoda, Nephropidae. The transcript has 3 exons. The record is from RefSeq and is a predicted model, not a curated record.
GUAGUGUUUAGGCGCGUCGCUCCUGGAGCCGAGGGAGCUAGUGAGAGACCUCGUCAUCUUGCUGGAGGUGCUCCACCACAGUCCCCAGGACCACCCGCUUGAGGUGCUCCAUCACAGUCCCCAGAUCCACCUGCUGCAGGUGUUGCACCACAGUCCCCAGGACCACCUGCUGCAGGUGUUGCACCACAGUCCCCAGGAUCACCUGCUGCAGGUGCUCCACCACAGUCCCCAGGAUCACCUGCUGCAGGUGCUCCACCACAGUCCCCAGGAUCACCUGCUGCAGGUGCUCCACCACAGUCCCCAGGAUCACCUGGUGGAGGUGCUCCACCACAAAAGAUGCCGAGCUGCUGAACCUGACAUGUCGGCAGAUGAUGAUGACAUUCUGAACUUGACAUAGUAUGUAAGAGCACCUCAGACAGACGAGUGACCUUAGUCACAUAAAGGAAAAAAAAUAUCUAAACAGUCAUCUUCAGGGACUCUUCUGAGUACACAUGAGAACGACACUUGUCUGAGCUCUACAUGAGAGUUCUGUUUGUUCACACAGUAUGUUUGCUCAGCAUGCCUCUCCCCGGGAGGUAAAGAGUAACAAGCCUUCGAGUUAUUUCACACGUCAAAAUGUGUUUCAAAUACAACUGCUAGAGUGAAGGAUGAGGAAAAGAACUAUUAUUGAAACACCAGCGACUGUGACGUAAUGAAAUAGUACCUGUCAAGUAUCCAGAGCAGGACAAAGAUAGUUUGUAAUGGUCUACACACGGCUGUCAACCAUGCGGAGAACAUGCUGAUGAUGUUCAACCAAAAACAGUGAAACUUUAAAAAAAAUCAAAACAAUAUACUUGAGAUAUUUAUUGAAGGCGAACGAACUGGAUAUUAGCAGGUAAGGUUCUUGUGACGGUGCAGGAACAAACUAGUUAAUGAACUAUAGUGAUUAUGUGUCGGUGUUAACAAGAAGAAGAAGUAAGUAGUAUCGUCUUUGUGCUAAUUAGUGAUCAGUGAUGGUUUGUUUACUAUCAGAAAAUGAAAAAAAUGACAAAAAACUAUGACAGUGAGGUGAUGUGUGAUGAUGAGAGAGAAAGUGAGCUAUAGUGAGUGUUGAGAGCUACUAAGUGUACCUCAGUCUGGUAGUGAUAGUGACUGAACCUGAAAAAAAAAUGUCGCUACGUGUGUCUUUGUGACUAAAAGUAACAUUUGUCACUCCUAACAAUGGCCGGGAUUUGGACAACUAUAUUAUAUUUCAUCCUGAUGGCGACGACCGUGUGGGCCACUAGAGGUGUGAAGGAGCAGGUGUUCCGCGUAACUCCCAGGAGCGUGCAGGUGAAGGUGGGAGAGGAGGUGCUGCUGCGCUGUGUGGUGGACAACCAACAAGGCAACGUUCAGUGGACCAAG